UACGAGAGGCCCAAACGUUAUUCGGAUUUACUGGGCUUAAAGAGUUCGUAGGCGGCCAACUAAGUCGGACGUGAAAUCCCUCAGCUUAACUGGGGAACUGCGUCCGAUACUGGAUGGCUUGGAUUCGGGAGAGGGAUGCGGAAUUCCAGGUGUAGCGGUGAAAUGCGUAGAUAUCUGGAGGAACACCGGUGGCGAAGGCGGCAUCCUGGACCGAUAUUGACGCUGAGGAGCGAAAGCCAGGGGAGCAAACGGG
This 253-nucleotide ribosomal RNA is filed under the name uncultured bacterium. RNAcentral describes it as "partial 16S ribosomal RNA". It matches the Rfam family "Bacterial small subunit ribosomal RNA", at positions 524 to 776 of the family's 1533-position model. The record is from RNAcentral.